RNAcentral lists this long non-coding RNA (355 nucleotides) under Gallus gallus (chicken). RNAcentral describes it as "long non-coding RNA NONGGAT008559". Lineage: Eukaryota; Metazoa; Chordata; Aves; Galliformes; Phasianidae. The record is from RNAcentral.
GUGGCUUUGAUGCCGUGAGGUGUUGAGCUGAGGUAGCUUGGUCACCAGCACGGCCAUUCACGUCUUGCAAGAUUUAGUCAAAUUGUAGAAGUUUAUAAAGAUGUUACACGUACCAACAAUUCUACACAUGGAGUCAUGAGACAAUGAUUGUUGACAACCUCAUGUAAAGGACAAUGAGAAGUGUAGCUCACAGCCAGGAUGCCUUUGAGUUCCUCAGCCACCACUUCAUAUCAGAAGAUCUUAAGAAUCAGGAAAAGUUUGCUCACUACUCAGUCUCCUUGACAUCUAAAGGAUGUGAUAUAGGACAGUUAUAAAUGAACCUUUGGCUUACGCGGAGACAUCAGGCAGACUGAGA